GGCGUCUGAGAGCGCGAGUGGAAUCGGCGACGAGAAGAGGAAACUGAAGAAUCCCAGAGCGUACGACGAACUGCACAGGAAAGCAAAAGAUAUUUGUCCUGUGCCGUUGGGUGGUUGUAAGUUACUUAUAACGAAGGGCUUGAGUCGUCACUUCUCAGUUAAUCACACACUGAUUCUCGAACAACAGCAGCCGUCUUCGUAUACAUUUGGGGCGACAUACGUUGGAGCAAAGCAAGUCAGUCCAGUUGAGCACAUACAACUUUGCUGGGAAGCUGAACAAUCGACUGAUAGCUGCUUAUGAGAGAGGAGACAUGGCAACAGCACAGAAAGAACAAGUGAUCACACACCACAUUUCCUAUAUUUAAAUAUUUUACACAUUUAGUUACGUAUCUGUUGUUUAUUUGAUUGUCAGUAUCGUUCUCAAGCUGCUAUCCUCGUAUACAGAAAGUAUGCAGACUUGGUCGGACCCGCUGCUUCUGGUAAAGCAAUUAUGCAGCUGAUUGGGUUGAACGUGGGGCCACCACGUCUACCUGAAGUUGCUCUCUCUGCACCUCAAGUGAAAGAGAUGCAGAAGGAGCUGAACGAGAUUGGAUUUUUUGACUGGUAUCAGUGAAUUGUGUUGAUGUUUUAACUGUUUGACAAUGAAACGAAAGUGACUUGCAGUGUUGCUAUUUUCACAUGUUAAUAAAAGUGUUGCUAUUUUUACAUGUUAAUUAAUAAGUGUUGCUAUUGA
This is a long non-coding RNA of Corticium candelabrum, 733 nucleotides long. RefSeq lists it as uncharacterized. Lineage: Eukaryota; Metazoa; Porifera; Homoscleromorpha; Homosclerophorida; Plakinidae. The record is from RefSeq and is a predicted model, not a curated record. The transcript has 3 exons.